UAAGCUUUAUGAGUGUUGGGAUUCGUUCUUUUGAUAGAGAGUUAUAAUUGCUUGAGUUAACUUCAAUUCUGUGGUUCUAAUCAUUGAUACAUUUCUUAAUUGUUGUUGGCCAAUGAGCAACUGCUGGUUUUUGUCCCUUGUUGAAUUAACUAAUGAAGCAUGAACACAAUGAGUGCUUGUUGAUAUGUAUGCAGAAUAUAGGCCAUUGAUGAAGCUCGAGCGCUGUUUGAUAAUAUGCCAAAGAAGGGUACUCGGGGGCACAAGCUUAUUGCACCCAAAUUUGAGCAAAUUUGAUUAGAGAGAAAUUGUUCAAUCUAAUGCGGGUUCAAAAACUUGCAGCAAGGAACGCUAUGGAUUGUUAUAAUGUCAUAUUCAGAACAUAAUUGCAAUUAUGGAUGGGAUUGAAUUCUAUCGCGGUUUGUUCCUUGAUGGUUGGUAUGGACACAGGCUACUCUGUCUUGUUAUUCUUUCUCCAUGAAGGAACCAUUGUGUUAUGCUAGUAAUUGGGCAAGCUUGCACUAGACUGUAACUAUAAUUAAGUUACAUGCAUCUAUCACGUCUCUUGACUUGUCUUUUUUCCCUUUGUUUUCAUUGGUCAUUUAUUUUCUCCACAAAACUCAAUCGGGUAUUCUUAGUCAA
This is a long non-coding RNA of Gossypium arboreum, 639 nucleotides long. RefSeq lists it as uncharacterized. The transcript has 2 exons. NCBI's taxonomy places the organism in Eukaryota, Viridiplantae, Streptophyta, Magnoliopsida, Malvales, Malvaceae. The record is from RefSeq and is a predicted model, not a curated record.